This is a long non-coding RNA of Ipomoea triloba (trilobed morning glory), 427 nucleotides long. RefSeq lists it as uncharacterized. The record is from RefSeq and is a predicted model, not a curated record. Lineage: Eukaryota; Viridiplantae; Streptophyta; Magnoliopsida; Solanales; Convolvulaceae. The transcript is spliced from 3 exons.
GAUGGGUUGCUAACAUUUGUUGAGAACUUUGUGAAGGAUCACUUCUUACCAGCAAUGUUUGUAGAUUACAGGAAAGCUGUACAACACAGCCAUAGCAAGCCCAGCUUCAUUUCGACCACGAGCACAAGCUGCUACUUCUUACUCUUCUUCAAUUGAGAAAGGAUGACCUGUGUUACAAGGACUUUUGGCAAUAGACUUUUUAGCGAAAGAGAAAAUGGAGAGCAAGUGAAUGAUAAUCAAUUAUACUAUAAUGCGAUUGGCGGACAUGAAAAGAAAAGAACUUUAUGGACAUCAUCACCAGGCCUCCAUCUCAAGUCAAUUGAUUUUGAUGUUGAUUGUUGUUAAAACUAUUAUAUUGUUCUUUAGACUCGAACUGAGUAUUAUUACUUAUUAGAUGUGGAUUAAUAUGUACUAUUACUUGAAAUUA